GAUGAACGCUAGCGGCAGGCCAACACAUGCAAGUCGAGGGGCAGCACAGAAACAGCAAUGUUUUGGUGGCGACCGGCGGACGGGUGCGUAACGCGUAUGCAACCUACCUUUAACAGGGGGAUAACGGAGAGAAAUUUCCACUAAUACCCCAUAACAUCGAUCAAGGCAUCUUGAUUGGUUGAAAACUCCGGUGGUUAAAGAUGGGCAUGCGUUGUAUUAGGUAGUUGGUGAGGUAAUGGCUCACCAAGCCUACGAUACAUAGGGGGACUGAGAGGUUAGCUCCACACACUGGUACUGAGACACGGACCAGACUCCUACGGGAGGCAGCAGUGAGGAAUAUUGGUCAAUGGGGGCAACCCUGAACCAGCCAUGCCGCGUGCAGGAAGACGGCUCUAUGAGUUGUAAACUGCUUUUAAACAGGGAUAAAGCACAGUAUGUAUACUGUGUUGAAGGUACUGUAAGAAUAAGGAUCGGCUAACUCCGUGCCAGCCGCCGCGGUAA
Molecule: ribosomal RNA, 501 nt
Filed under: uncultured bacterium
Lineage: Bacteria
Description: partial 16S ribosomal RNA
Rfam family: Bacterial small subunit ribosomal RNA
Source: RNAcentral